UACGGAGGGUGCAAGCGUUGUCCGGAUUCAUUGGGUUUAAAGGGUGCGCAGGCGGGACAUUAAGUCAGGGGUGAAAGACGGUUGCUCAACAAUCGCAGUGCCUUUGAUACUGGUGUUCUUGGGUGACCUUGAGGUAGGCGGAAUGGGUGGUGUAGCGGUGAAAUGCAUAGAUAUCAGGAGGAACACCGAUGGCGAAGGCAGGUCUCUGGGCAUUAACUGACGCUGAGGAGCGAAAGCAUGGGGAGCGAACAGG
RNAcentral lists this ribosomal RNA (253 nucleotides) under uncultured bacterium. RNAcentral's name for it is "partial 16S ribosomal RNA". It matches the Rfam family "Bacterial small subunit ribosomal RNA", at positions 524 to 776 of the family's 1533-position model. The record is from RNAcentral.